GUCCUGGCCGUAAACGAUCUGUACUAGUCUGUGGAGACCCCCACAUCUUCACGGACGUAGCGAAAGUGUUAAGUACAGCGCCUGGGGAGUAUGGUCGCAAGGCUGAAACUCAAAGGAAUUGACGGGGGCUCACACAAGCGGAGGAGGAUGUGGCUUAAUUCGAGGCUACGCGAAGAACCUUACCUGGGCUCGAAGUGCUUGAGAAUCCCGGUGAAAGCCGGGAGUGCCUUUCGGGGAGCUCUUGCAUAGGUGCUGCAUGGCUGUCGU
RNAcentral lists this ribosomal RNA (267 nucleotides) under uncultured bacterium. Its description in RNAcentral is "partial 16S ribosomal RNA". It matches the Rfam family "Bacterial small subunit ribosomal RNA", at positions 793 to 1055 of the family's 1533-position model. The record is from RNAcentral.